AUUGAACGCUGGCGGCAUGCUUUACACAUGCAAGUCGAACGGUAACAGGCCUUCGGGUGCUGACGAGUGGCGGACGGGCGAGUAAUGCAUCGGAACGUGCCCUGAGGUUGGCGUUAACGCAGCGAAAGCUGAGCGAAUACCGCAUGUGAUCUGAGGAUGAGAGCGGGGGACCAGGCAGCAAUGUUUGGCCUCGCGCCUUUGGAGCGGCCGAUGUCCGAUUAGGUGGUUGGUGGGGUAAAGGCCUACCAAGCCGACGAUCUGUAGCUGGUCUGAGAGGACGACCGGCCGCACUGGAACUGGGACACGGCCCAGACUACUACGGGAGGCAGCAGUGGGGAAUGUUAGACAGUGGGGGCGAGCCUGAUCCAGCAAUGCCGCGUGCGGGACGAAGGCCUUCGGGUUGUAAUCCGCUUCUGUACGGAAUGAAAAGGCUCUGGCUAAUACCUGGGGUUGAUGACGGUACCGUAAGAAUAAGCACCGGCUAACUACGUG
RNAcentral lists this ribosomal RNA (492 nucleotides) under uncultured bacterium. RNAcentral's name for it is "partial 16S ribosomal RNA". It matches the Rfam family "Bacterial small subunit ribosomal RNA", at positions 28 to 507 of the family's 1533-position model. The record is from RNAcentral.